UGCAGUCGAGCGGACAGAUGGGAGCUUGCUCCCUGAUGUUAGCGGCGGACGGGUGAGUAACACGUGGGUAACCUGCCUGUAAGACUGGGAUAACUCCGGGAAACCGGGGCUAAUACCGGAUGGUUGUUUGAACCGCAUGGUUCAAACAUAAAAGGUGGCUUCGGCUACCACUUACAGAUGGACCCGCGGCGCAUUAGCUAGUUGGUGAGGUAACGGCUCACCAAGGCAACGAUGCGUAGCCGACCUGAGAGGGUGAUCGGCCACACUGGGACUGAGACACGGCCCAGACUCCUACGGGAGGCAGCAGUAGGGAAUCUUCCGCAAUGGACGAAAGUCUGACGGAGCAACGCCGCGUGAGUGAUGAAGGUUUUCGGAUCGUAAAGCUCUGUUGUUAGGGAAGAACAAGUACCGUUCGAAUAGGGCGGUACCUUGACGGUACCUAACCAGAAAGCCACGGCUAACUACGUGCCAGCAGCCGCGGUAAUACGUAGGUGGCAAGCGUUGUCCGGAAUUAUUGGGCGUAAAGGGCUCGCAGGCGGUUUCUUAAGUCUGAUGUGAAAGCCCCCGGCUCAACCGGGGAGGGUCAUUGGAAACUGGGGAACUUGAGUGCAGAAGAGGAGAGUGGAAUUCCACGUGUAGCGGUGAAAUGCGUAGAGAUGUGGAGGAACACCAGUGGCGAAGGCGACUCUCUGGUCUGUAACUGACGCUGAGGAGCGAAAGCGUGGGGAGCGAACAGGAUUAGAUACCCUGGUAGUCCACGCCGUAAACGAUGAGUGCUAAGUGUUAGGGGGUUUCCGCCCCUUAGUGCUGCAGCUAACGCAUUAAGCACUCCGCCUGGGGAGUACGGUCGCAAGACUGAAACUCAAAGGAAUUGACGGGGGCCCGCACAAGCGGUGGGAGCAUGUGGUUUAAUUCGAAGCAACGCGAAGAACCUUACCAGGUCUUGACAUCCUCUGACAAUCCUAGAGAUAGGACGUCCCCUUCGGGGGCAGAGUGACAGGUGGUGCAUGGUUGUCGUCAGCUCGUGUCGUGAGAUGUUGGGUUAAGUCCCGCAACGAGCGCAACCCUUGAUCUUAGUUGCCAGCAUUCAGUUGGGCACUCUAAGGUGACUGCCGGUGACAAACCGGAGGAAGGUGGGGAUGACGUCAAAUCAUCAUGCCCCUUAUGACCUGGGCUACACACGUGCUACAAUGGACAGAACAAAGGGCAGCGAAACCGCGAGGUUAAGCCAAUCCCACAAAUCUGUUCUCAGUUCGGAUCGCAGUCUGCAACUCGACUGCGUGAAGCUGGAAUCGCUAGUAAUCGCGGAUCAGCAUGCCGCGGUGAAUACGUUCCCGGGCCUUGUACACACCGCCCGUCACACCACGAGAGUUUGUAACACCCGAAGUCGGUGAGGUAACCUUUAGGAGCC
Molecule: ribosomal RNA, 1411 nt
Filed under: Bacillus sp. (in: firmicutes)
Lineage: Bacteria; Bacillati; Bacillota; Bacilli; Caryophanales; Bacillaceae
Description: bacterial SSU rRNA
Rfam family: Bacterial small subunit ribosomal RNA
Source: RNAcentral